CCUACGGGAGGCAGCAGUGGGGAAUCUUGCGCAAUGGGCGAAAGCCUGACGCAGCCAUGCCGCGUGGAUGAUGAAGGUCUUAGGAUUGUAAAAUCCUUUCACCGGUGAAGAUAAUGACUGUAGCCGGAGAAGAAGCCCCGGCUAACUUCGUGCCAGCAGCCGCGGUAAUACGAAGGGGGCUAGCGUUGCUCGGAAUUACUGGGCGUAAAGGGAGCGUAGGCGGACAUUUAAGUCAGAGGUGAAAUCCCGGAGCUUAACUUCGGAACUGCCUUUGAUACUGGGUGUCUUGAGUGUGAGAGAGGUAUGUGGAACUCCGAGUGUAGAGGUGAAAUUCGUAGAUAUUCGGAAGAACACCAGUGGCGAAGGCGACAUACUGGCUCAUUACUGACGCUGAGGCUCGAAAGCGUGGGGAGCAAACAGGAUUAGAUACCCUGGUAGUCCACGCCGUAAACGAUGAUUGCUAGUUGUCGGGAAGCUUGCUUCUCGGUGACGCNGCUACGCAUAGCAUCCGCCGUGGGAGGUACGGUCGCGAGAAGUUAAACGUUAAAGUAAGUUAGACGGUCGUUGAGACGUUGCCGACGGCGACGACGAGGGAGGAGG
Molecule: ribosomal RNA, 600 nt
Filed under: uncultured bacterium
Lineage: Bacteria
Description: bacterial SSU rRNA
Rfam family: Bacterial small subunit ribosomal RNA (bases 1-513)
Source: RNAcentral